This 647-nucleotide long non-coding RNA is filed under the name Homo sapiens (human). RNAcentral describes it as "HSALNT0108652". Lineage: Eukaryota; Metazoa; Chordata; Mammalia; Primates; Hominidae. The record is from RNAcentral.
GGAGAGGAAGGUGGCAGCAUUACUAAUCAGAUGUUUGACUGGGAAAUGUAAAGAGAUAGUCAUUACAUGGACAUCUGGAGAAAAAAACAGCACAUGGAAGUAUCAAGUGUUCUGGGGCCGCCCAGGCAGAGGGAAACAAGAGCUAGACUACCUGCUCGUGAUCCCAGGAGGCUAAUGGAACAGUGAUGUAUCGCGGUUCCUGCCUCGUGAAUUUGGAAGCAGGAUUCUGCUCCUAGGAAAAGAUGAGAAUAGAGCUCCAGUCUAUUCUUGCUGCAGUAAUUUGAAAAUUAUGGGACCAUCAAUCUGUUGUGAAUGCUGUCUACAGCAGAUCUUAUCUCUCAGAAUUAUCAAACUGAGCUGAUCCAAAGGCUUGACAUAAAUUACAUGUUAAACGUAUAACAUCUUCUCCUAUGGAUUUCUCCUGGGCAAGAAUGGCAUCUCGGUGCAGGACCCGCAGCACUUUCUCUGGCUCCGCAGACCCGUAAUGAGCCUCCAGAACCUCAGGCUUGGUUUUCUCUGUCUUCAGCAUGUGGAUCACAUCUUCUCUGGCCUGUAAUAGAAAGUGCAGCAAGAUCAGACGACUGACAAUGUAAAUCGCAUACUGGGCUCAAAAAAUCAACAGAGAGCUUAUUGAAUACAUCCCCAUC